CAGUCUGAGAGGUUACAUUAUCUUUCUCCAAGUCACACAGUUAAGCGAAUGACAGAGGUGGAUUUGAGCCUAGAUGUGUACAUGACCUCAACACCUAUUUUUCCAGGAACUCCAGGCCUGUCUCUAAACCCCAGAUGGGUUCAGCAGCUUACUCUCAGUUCUCGCUGAUGCUCAACCUCUCCCUUCCUAGUGCCUCACCUUCCAAGAAUCAGUGUUUCAGAUUCCCAGUGACUGUCAGCCAUCUCCUCCACCUCCUGCUAUGCAUGUGUAUAACAGACAAUACUAACAUUUAUACCCUCUUAACUACUUUGUUUUAAAAUGACUCUGGAGUUCAGGUAACUAUACAUGUGCUUAAACUAUACAUUGUGCAUUUCUAAUUUCUUGCUAAAUCUCUGACUACAGUCUCAAAGGAUAGGACUGCCUUACUUGUCCCCUUGGCCCUCCCUCAAUUCUUCAAACACAGAUAUUUCUCUCAGGCAAUUGACUGUCAUUUCCUGAGCAUAUCUCUCAUGAAGACAUUGGUCAAUUCUCAGAAAAAAUAAAAUAAAUCAAAUAUGAAGAGGAAGAACUUCAGAUUAAUUCAAUAAUUUUUAAAUAAUCUCUCUUUGCUACACUUCCACUCCCAAACAUGAACUCUUAAGUAAAUAAAGAAAAUAUGAUUCACAUUUCCAAUAAACCAUGAAAUCUGUAUUUCAACUGAGGCUGCUUCUUGGUCACAUAGUAUACUUGUAAUUCCAAAGCAACUGUAUUGCAUUUUGAAAGAAAACAAGUCAGUCAUGUUCCAUCAACAGAAAGCCUUCUUGAGCAUGUCUCCUGGUAGGCUAAAGGGAUCUGAGUCAUUUGCCAAGGGUGAAUGGGAGAGUAAGUUCAUAUAAAACACCUACAAAUCUUAAUAAGGGGAUGAGCUAAAACCACAAAACUCCUCGUUCCUUUUCAAGUAUCACUAAUGCAUGUCACCAGUGGAUUAACUAAUAGUAUUCUACUUUAAUGGCAUUUCUGCUCUAUCAUUAACCUAAGUAUGGUCCAUAAAGUUACUAGAAUAUCCAUAAACGAGCUUACUACAAGGUUAUGUGAUUUCUACUUCUAUCAGCUCAGUAAAAACAACAUCAAAUUCUUCAUCCAGGUUGAGUUUUGUGGGACUGAGAGCUAGGAAUUGGAUAAUAAUAUCAAUGAUUAAAAUGAGUUCAGAAAGAAUUCAAAUUUCUAUUGUGUCAGUUUUCUGCUUCUUGCUUUUAAAAGAUCAUGAUUCUGAUCCUAAUUUUCCAUAGCAGGAUAUAGUUUCUAAUGAUAUUCUACUAUUUGUCUAUAUUCUACCUUCGGGUGGAACCUGAAUAGGUGGUGUUUUCAAAUCACCACCCAGUCUAUACUGGAACUUACACUGGUUUUGAUAAGAAGUAGAUGGAAUACACUACCCACCCACCCCACAAAAAAAAAAGGCCUAUUUAAUCUAAUGUUCUAGUGGAAUUCCAGGAUUUAUGUCACUAUUAUAGAAAAACUCAUUUUGGUUAUAGCACCAACAUAGCCAAAUAAAUGACUUCAAGAUGCUAGAAGAAAGUAUUUGGUCAAGAUAAAUAGAUGUUCAAAAAGGCCUCCCCAGCAUACUCAUUUUGCUAUAUGGAAAAUGAACUAACCAGUUUAAUGUACACUAAAUGAGACUUGGAAGCACAUUCUAAUUCACUUUAUUUUGUACCAGAAAUGAGGCUGUUUUUUUUAUUUUCCUGCUUCCUCCCUUAACCCCUAGGGUGUAUUCUCAACAAAAUGGCCAAUGUGAUCUUUUUGAAACACACAUCAGAUCACAUCACUUCACUGCUCAGAACCCUCCCAUGUCUUCCAUUCUCUGAAGACAGAAAGCCAGGGUCCUGGCAGUGGUCUAUAGGCCACACACCUUCCAGCCUCCCUGAUGUGGCUGUUCCUUCCCCUGGCACAUUUUAACCCCACUGAAUACACUGGUUCUCAAACACACUCAACAUAUUCACUCUUCAGCACCUUUACCAUUCGCUGUCCCCACUGACUGGAACACUCUUCCUUCCAACAUCUGCAAGACCAAUUCCCUCCCCUCCUUCAAAUCUUUGCUCAACAGUCACCAUCUCAGCAGGCCAACCUUGUUUAACUCAUUUAAAAUUAUAUGUCACUGCUUCUUCCCACACUCCCAACACCUCUUGCCCUUUCUUCCAUAGCAGUACUCAUUGCUUUCUACCAUUCUACAUAGCUUACACGUUUUUUACACUUAUUGUCCUUCUUCCUCUCUAGAAUUUAAACUCCACAAAGAUGUGAUUUUUAAUCCAUUUUGUUCACUACUGUAUAACUAGGACUUGGAACGAUAUAGGGUACAUAGUAGGUGCUUAGUAACAUCAGAUGGAUGAAAGAAUGAAUUCCAAAUUUGCUGAACAUGGUAGAGAUCUAGCCACACACAAAAAUAUUUAACUUAAACCCUUGAUUUAAAUUCUGCCAUCCUCUAUUUUCUCUUCUGUAAAAUGGAAUAAUUAGAGUAUCUAACACUUAGGGCUGUUGUAAAGAUUAAAAGAGAAAACAAAUGGAAAACAUUUAAGAUAGUGACUUACAUAUUGAGUCAUUAUUUUGAUUAGUUUAGGAAUAAUAGAAUCAAGGAUAAUAAAAAAUAACACCUAAAAUUUACAUAGAAUUUUACUCUGUAGGAAUUUAUACAAUCGUUUUCAUUAGAUCUUCCCAGGAUCCUUCUAGAUCAAUACCCUAGAAAACAGAAAUAACAGUAUCCUCAGCAUCUGCACCUUGCAGUGUCAGGGGAUAUAUCCAAACACAAAGCUAUGAAGGAUGGGGGCAGGAUUCAAAUUGAAGUUCUAUGAUUCCAAGCCCUAUGCUUUCUCCUCAAUUUCAGAGAAAGGAAAUAUUACCUCCAGCUUAAGGCUCUAACAGAUUGAAAGGGUCUUUGAAGUGGUGUUUUUUGGUUUGGUUGUUUCUUUACCGAGACUGGAUGUCUGCAUAGACGUGGCUGAGUCCAAGCAGCAGUAGGUCAUCAGCAUCCAGUAGUCCCUGCAAAUCCCAGGAAGUCAGGACUCAAGCACUGGAAGACACUGUCUCACCACUGAUCAUUGAUUCAGUCACGUAUGUGCUGCCUAGACAACUUUUAUUAUGUGAUUUUUUCCCAACAUGCUUCUAAACACCUCAAGGCCAAGAUUGGAUUUUGUCAGUGGGGGGGCGCAACUCCUUAUUCAGCCUUGUUUACAUGGCUGAUAUUUAGGA
This 3219-nucleotide long non-coding RNA is filed under the name Macaca mulatta (Rhesus monkey). RNAcentral describes it as "lncRNA (ENSMMUG00000051065.1)". The record is from RNAcentral. Lineage: Eukaryota; Metazoa; Chordata; Mammalia; Primates; Cercopithecidae.